This 285-nucleotide long non-coding RNA is filed under the name Anser brachyrhynchus (Pink-footed goose). Its description in RNAcentral is "lncRNA (ENSABRG00000000680.1)". Lineage: Eukaryota; Metazoa; Chordata; Aves; Anseriformes; Anatidae. The record is from RNAcentral.
UUUGAGUUUUGGAUAAUAUAUAUAGUGGGUUUUUUGGUGCUUAAGAAAAAUACCUGUUAAACCAAGGAUUACCCAUUGUGAUUUACUUGUUCCUUAAGAGAGAGACUUUAGGCAUCAGCUCUGGGACUGUGGGAUCUCUUUUUGCCUCUGUCACUGCUGGGGAAUCGCAGCUCCGGACUGACCUGAGCUGGUCACUGAAACUUAGGAAACUCUUUGCCUAUUGACUUCUUCACGUGGAAACCGAUCCGCUGAAAGCAAAAAGAAACCAUUUCUUGGAGCGGGGGG